This 503-nucleotide ribosomal RNA is filed under the name uncultured bacterium. RNAcentral's name for it is "partial 16S ribosomal RNA". It matches the Rfam family "Bacterial small subunit ribosomal RNA", at positions 30 to 523 of the family's 1533-position model. The record is from RNAcentral.
AUUGAACGCUGGCGGCAGGCUUAACACAUGCAAGUCGAGCGGGGUGAUGGUGCUUGCACUAUCACUUAGCGGCGGACGGGUGAGUAAUGCUUAGGAAUCUGCCUAUUAGUGGGGGACAACAUCUCGAAAGGGAUGCUAAUACCGCAUACGUCCUACGGGAGAAAGCAGGGGAUCACUUGUGACCUUGCGCUAAUAGAUGAGCCUAAGUCGGAUUAGUUAGUUGGAGGGGUAAAGGCCUACCAAGGCGACGAUCUGUAGCGGGUCUGAGAGGAUGAUCCGCCACACUGGGACUGAGACACGGACCAGACUCCUACGGGAGGCAGCAGUGGGGAAUAUUGGACAAUGGGGGGAACCCUGAUCCAGCCAUGCCGCGUGUGUGAAGAAGGCCUUAUGGUUGUAAAGCACUUUAAGCGAGGAGGAGGCUCUUUUUGGGAAUACCCAAGAUGAGUGGACGUUACUCGCAGAAUAAGCACCGGCUAACUCUGUGCCAGCCGCCGCCGUAA